GUCGAGCGAAUGGAUUAAGAGCUUGCUCUUAUGAAGUUAGCGGCGGACGGGUGAGUAACACGUGGGUAACCUGCCCAUAAGACUGGGAUAACUCCGGGAAACCGGGGCUAAUACCGGAUAACAUUUUGAACCGCAUGGUUCGAAAUUGAAAGGCGGCUUCGGCUGUCACUUAUGGAUGGACCCGCGUCGCAUUAGCUAGUUGGUGAGGUAACGGCUCACCAAGGCAACGAUGCGUAGCCGACCUGAGAGGGUGAUCGGCCACACUGGGACUGAGACACGGCCCAGACUCCUACGGGAGGCAGCAGUAGGGAAUCUUCCGCAAUGGACGAAAGUCUGACGGAGCAACGCCGCGUGAGUGAUGAAGGCUUUCGGGUCGUAAAACUCUGUUGUUAGGGAAGAACAAGUGCUAGUUGAAUAAGCUGGCACCUUGACGGUACCUAACCAGAAAGCCACGGCUAACUACGUGCCAGCAGCCGCGGUAAUACGUAGGUGGCAAGCGUUAUCCGGAAUUAUUGGGCGUAAAGCGCGCGCAGGUGGUUUCUUAAGUCUGAUGUGAAAGCCCACGGCUCAACCGUGGAGGGUCAUUGGAAA
Molecule: ribosomal RNA, 591 nt
Filed under: Bacillus sp. CH426a_13T
Lineage: Bacteria; Bacillati; Bacillota; Bacilli; Caryophanales; Bacillaceae
Also listed under: 1 other name
Description: bacterial SSU rRNA
Rfam family: Bacterial small subunit ribosomal RNA
Source: RNAcentral